RNAcentral lists this ribosomal RNA (253 nucleotides) under uncultured bacterium. RNAcentral describes it as "partial 16S ribosomal RNA". It matches the Rfam family "Bacterial small subunit ribosomal RNA", at positions 524 to 776 of the family's 1533-position model. The record is from RNAcentral.
UACGAAGGGGACUAGCGUUGUUCGGAAUCACUGGGCGUAAAGCGCACGUAGGCGGAUGUGUCAGUCAGGGGUGAAAUCCCGGGGCUCAACCUCGGAACUGCCUUUGAUACAGCACGUCUCGAGUCCGGAAGAGGUGGGUGGAAUUCCGGGUGUAGUGGUGAAAUGCGUAGAGAUCCGGAGGAACGCCAGUGGUGCAGCCGGCCACCUGGCCCUGACCUGACACUGAGGCGCGACAGCGUGGGGAGCGAACCGG